RNAcentral lists this RNase P RNA (423 nucleotides) under Marininema halotolerans. Its description in RNAcentral is "Bacterial RNase P class A". It matches the Rfam family "Bacterial RNase P class A". Rfam says of the family: Ribonuclease P (RNase P) is a ubiquitous endoribonuclease, found in archaea, bacteria and eukarya as well as chloroplasts and mitochondria. Its best characterised activity is the generation of mature 5'-ends of tRNAs by cleaving the 5'-leader elements of precursor-tRNAs. Cellular RNase Ps are ribonucleoproteins. The record is from RNAcentral. Lineage: Bacteria; Bacillati; Bacillota; Bacilli; Caryophanales; Thermoactinomycetaceae.
AAAGUAAACCGGGCAAUCGCCGGUGGAGCGCCGCAAGGCCCCACGGGAGGAAAGUCCGAGCUCUAUAGGGCAGGGUGCCGGCUAACGGCCGGUGGAGGCAACUCUAAGGCUAGUGCCACAGAAAUGAAGACCGCCGAUGGAGAGGGGUGCCCUCUCACAGGUAAGGAUGCAACGGUGCGGUAAGAGCGCACCAGCAGUAUGGAGACAUACUGGCUAGGUAAACCCCACCUGGAGCAAGACCUUAAAGAGAUCAACGCUUUUAAGCGAAGCUGUAGCCCGCAGUGAUCUCGGGUUGGUCGCUUGAGCGGUGUAGCAAUACAUCGCCUAGACAGAUGAUUGCCACUCUAUACCGUGGGAGGCAUUGCGACAAUUGCUGUUUUGACCACGAAGAGUACAGAACUCGGCUUAUGGUUUGCUUUCCAA